AGAACUGAUGAUCAGGGUUGGAUAUGGUGUCCCAUUCACUCUCUAGCCUCAAGCCCAGAGCCAAGCGGCUCUCUUCCACAUUUUCAUCAGUCCUCACGCUCUUAAAUAUGAGCAAUGUCUCUCAUUUCGCUCCCAACGCUUUGUCUUUCUCUCUCUCAAAUAGGAGACAUGUCUCUCACUUUCUCACUCAUCAACAACACAGCAAAAGAGGUUCAGGGAGUGCAUCACGCCUGCAAACGGAAUAGCGGGCCUCAUUUCCGUCCAAUCCAAGAGCUUAAAGGAACUUUGAGCCGCCGUCAGUACCAAUGAAGAGACAACGGAAUUGCUACAACAGCUCAGAUCCGGCGAUGCACUGGAAAACAAAACAGGAAAUGCUCGGACCCAAAGCCUAAGGAUCUGUACCCGUGCUCUCCUCUGUGUUGCUUGGAUCCCACCCACAAACUUGUAUGUAGUGAUAUUUUAAAUAAAAUGCGAGGGAGUGAUUGAGGGAGAGGGGGUGCCAAGCAAUGCAAUGGACUUCAUCACCAACCCCACUGUAAGUAUGUCUGGAACUCUGCCCGUGCAUCUUUCUGCAUUCCCUUAGUUUCUGUAGUGCUGAAUCUCAUUAAUGUUGAUGAAUUUACGAUGAAUGCUCUGACGUGAAUGUAUGUUGAAUGCUGCUGAAUGCAUGAUUCAGGCGAAUGUGCGCAUUUAUUGGAUAUUUGGGGCUGAAUUGUUUCCAAAUGCAACCUGCAAUGAUCACACAAUAAGAAUCUAAUUAGCAUAAGCCCAAAAUAAAAUACUGAUUAACUAAGAAUAUGGCUGUUUUUGUGUUUCUCAAUUUCCUAAAUUUUUUUAUUUUUUGAUAAGAAAUUAAAAGCAAGGAAAUAAAAUGAACGAAAAUAAAAAUGAAAUGAGUUUAGAAAAAUUUGGGUUGCCUUUCAAUUAGUGCUUUAGUUAACGUAUAUAGCUAGACAUAGAGGAAAGAAUUGAUGAUCACGUCACUUGUUCUCUUAAAAUCAAUCACACUUUAACAGCAUCACAUGGCUGUGGGUACAGAAUGAGAUGUUUGUCAAUUAUGUGUUUCAGUGGAGUGGUUGAAUCCUUCAUAUUCGGCCUUCUAUGUGAAUGAAGCACCCAUAGUUUCUGUAAUGGUUGAAGUUCUUUACAAGGAAUAUGGCUGUCAAUAAGCUUUUUCUUCUUCCACUUGUAAAUAUUAGCCUUCUUGAAGGAUUUGCCCAGAUUCUCGUUAAAGUUGAUGGACUGUGCUAUUGGCGUGUCCAAUUCAGCAACCAAAAUUUUCUGAUCAAUAGCCAGUUGCUCUGGAUCCAAUAUGCUGAUUUUGUAUGAAUAGCUUCAUCCAACACAUCAGUUUUAAUGAACUCCUGCAGCUUAGUGGGUUGCGUUGCAGCCUCUGCAUAGGAUGUGCGUGGCAUAUAAACUUGGGUAGUAAUUGGAUCUGUGGGAAUUUCAGUAUCAGCAGGUGCUGUUUCUUCCAUCGGGCAUGAGUCAUCGACCUGGGAUUCUUCAAUUUCAGAUUCGUUCAUCCUAUCGUUGGUUUUUUCCCAUCUCUAUCUUUGAUCAACAUAGCACUCUUCUGAAACUUGCUGGUUAGCAAUUGGUUGAGUAGGAAAAAUUGAAUCGGAAUCGUUUUCUUAUUCUGCUAAUUGGUAUGCGAGCUGCCCAUUUUGCUGCUCUAGACUGUUGAUUGAUUUUAUUUUCUACAACUUAAGGGUACUCUCCAUAAACAACCUAAUGGACUCCUCCAACUUAGCAAUCUGGUACUCCAAAGAAAGUUUCUGUGGCACACAGGGCUGCUAAAAUCCCUGUUGAUUGCUUACCCACAUAACAGGAUGCUCUGUCCAUCGAGGGUAAGAGUUUGAAUAUGAAUCGUUCUCGUUUUCUGGGAAUUGAUACGCACGCUGUCCAUCUUGCUGUUCAAUUAUCUUUGCUGAUGGUUUGGUAUUCGGCAUUCUAUCAACAAAUUGCUUGACACACUGCCAAUUCAGCAAGUUUGUCAUCUAGAGCAGAUCUUUGUGGCACACUUUGCAAUUCAAAGGGCUCUUGAUUACCCAUCCACAUAGAACUAGGCUGCUCUGUCCACCUUGGAUUGUAAAAGUUUGAGUAUGGAUCGCACCUAGGCCCUUGAGAGUUCCUCAUAUUGAUAAUUCCAUGAAGGCAACCCUCCUUUUGGUUGUAGAUUCUAGCCCAUCGUUUAAGUGUUCUCAAAACCAACAAAACAUAACCUACAAAAAUAAAAAUAAAAUCAACAAGUAAAAAGAUAUAUACCAAAAUAAUUAACUAAGAAUAUGAUAAACAUAUUAGUUGAAACAAUCCACUUAUUUGAUAGGAUUUUUACCAUGUGCACAAAUAGGGAUAAAAACACUUAAAAAUACUUGCAAGGG
Long non-coding RNA from Pyrus x bretschneideri (Chinese white pear), 2384 nucleotides. RefSeq lists it as uncharacterized. The transcript is spliced from 3 exons. The record is from RefSeq and is a predicted model, not a curated record. NCBI's taxonomy places the organism in Eukaryota, Viridiplantae, Streptophyta, Magnoliopsida, Rosales, Rosaceae.